This 734-nucleotide ribosomal RNA is filed under the name uncultured bacterium. RNAcentral's name for it is "bacterial SSU rRNA". It matches the Rfam family "Bacterial small subunit ribosomal RNA", at positions 43 to 812 of the family's 1533-position model. The record is from RNAcentral.
CAUGGCUAAACAUGCAAGUCGAGCGCGAAAGAGGGGCAACCCUCGAGUAGAGCGGCGAAAGGGUGAGUAAUGCGUUCCUACGUGCCUUGAGGUCGAGGAUAGCCAGGGGAAACUCUGGGUAAUACUCGAUGUGGUCUUCGGAUCAAAGGCUUGCCGCCUCAAGAGCGGGGAACGUCCUAUCAGGUAGUUGGUGAGGUAAUGGCUCACCAAGCCUUUGACGGGUAGCGGGUGUGAGAGCAUGGCCCGCCACAUCGGGACUGAGACACUGCCCGGACUCCUACGGGAGGCUGCAGUAACGAAUCUUCCGCAAUGCGCGAAAGCGUGACGGAGCAAUGCCGCGUGCAGGAUGAAGCCCCUCGGGGUGUAAACUGCUGUCAGGGAUUAGCAACACAAUGAGCAGUCCCAAAGGAAGAGACGACUAACUCUGUGCCAGCAGUCGCGGUAAUACAGAGGUCUCGAGCGUUAGUCGGAAUCACUGGGCUUAAAGCGUGCGUAGGCGGAGAUGCAGGCGUCGUGUGAAAUCUCCCGGCUCAACCGGGGAACUGCACGGCGAACCGCAUCUCUUGAGAGAGGUAGGGGCGGUCGGAACGAUAGGUGGAGUGGUGAAAUGCGUUGAUAUCUAUCGGAACGCCGAAGGUGAAGACAGGCCGCUGGGCCUUCUCUGACGCUGAGGCACGAAAGCGUGGGUAGCGAACGGGAUUAGAUACCCCGGUAGUCCACGCCGUAAACGAUGU